RNAcentral lists this long non-coding RNA (2534 nucleotides) under Triticum aestivum (bread wheat). RNAcentral describes it as "long non-coding RNA (TAES_LNC000087)". The record is from RNAcentral. Lineage: Eukaryota; Viridiplantae; Streptophyta; Magnoliopsida; Poales; Poaceae.
UUUAGAAGUGGAAAAGAACUUGUUAAUCACAGGUUUGAAAAAAUUCUGGUAUACAUGAAACUCAUGUAGUCCAUGACAAAACAUGAAGCGAGAAACAGAGAAAAUGCAUAUGUUCUGAUUGCCUGGAGAUUUAAAAAAUCACCAGGCAGUUUCAAAGUGUGAAUUCACCAUGUUUACCUGUAGCACCUCAUAGUUUAAAAAAAUUCAUGUGAUGACAUGCCAAUUCUCCUAAAGUCUAAUUCAUGAUUCUGUAAGAAUAGCCAGCGGCAAAUGUACGAGCCAACAGAAUAAAGCCGGAAGGCAGUUGCCAUGGUUCAUGCCCACCACGCAGCCACAGUGUUGACCCGGAGCUCCUACUGGACCGAGCACGGCGCCUCUCCAUGAUAUCUGGGCCACCCCUAUAACCUUCUGCUCCAGGCAGAAAUUAUUUAUCGUUAUAAACAAAAAAUGCAGUUAGAUUCUGACCACAAAAGGUACAUUUUUUAAGUAUGUAAAGUUUGCUCUCAGGUAGAUACACAUAUAUGGGUAACAAGUCCAUUCUAGCAAGAUAGAGAGUUGUAGAACAAUUUGUUUUUAAGGAUUUGAAGCUAGAAACAUGAAGACGUGAGGCAUGUUAGAAAUUUUAGCUAUUAUCAAAUUUAGGUGGAUUAACAUUAGAUUGCACCAAUUAUUAAAUAAUGUGUAAUAGUGCAAAAUAUUCUAAUAAUUCAGAAAUUUUAUGGCAUUGUAAUUACCAUAGUAAGUAUUGUUGCUAAUCUGUGCCAAUAUAUUGAAAUACUCUAUUCAAAACAGUUAACAUUUUCAACCUUCAGUGUACAACCAACAGUAUCAGCCUCAUCGCGAUGCGCUAAAGAAUUGAAGUAGCAUCAAAACACAUGUCGACAAAAGUCAAAGUUGAAUAGCAUCCUGAUAUUGUCAUUUGUCAUGGCCAUAAAUAAUGGAGGAUGACAACCCCACCUAGCGCAGAGCCUACUUUGCAAAAUAAUACAAAUUUUAGCGGAAAGGUAUAACAUAAAGGUAUUUUCCAACAAUCGUCCAAAAAUAUGCAACAUCUCUAGAGAUAUGUCACUGAUGCAACUAACCAACUAAAAUAAGAAAUCUCAAUCAAUUUUGGAUUACGAACUUUUGCUCCAUCAUUCGUGGUUUGUGGGGUUGCAGAUUUGCCUGAUGUGUACUGCGUAACUGAACUUGAUAAAGCUCGCCACAUCAAGAGCGAAAUGAUUUUUUUUGUAGAUGCAGCUACAGUUUGAUUUGGUUUGCUUCUGUGCAUGUUCCGAGGCAUUGUGCCAAUAAAUCAGGUGGUUCUAGAGAAGUAAAAAUCGAUGAAACAACACCAUUGGUCAACUGCAUAAAAUAUGUUCCGAUAUAUGAUUGUAAUAUUCUAACAUCGCUUUAUUUCCUUCCUUUACCUCACAUUGUAAUGCUGAGACAAACUAUAUGACCUCAGCUGAUCUCUGGUCCCCAUGGCAAUUGGGGUAUCUCUAUCCUCCUCUCACCACAAUGCAAAACUCCAAAAGACACAGAAAAAGGGAGGGACCAAAACAUACUCACUCAUUGAAGUCUCUUAGCUAAUUCGAGAAACUAAAAAAGGCCAAAAGGAGGUGUCCAUUAAAACACUAGCAAGUACCACUAUAUCUAGCUCUCUUUCUCCAGGGCUUGCUGAAGAGAUUGGCUUCUAACAAACCUUCCCCGAAACAACAAAAAACUGAGAACAUGAGUAAACAUGUGGACUCUCUUUCGGAAAAGUAGAUACGUCGGCGAUGGUGAUCUGGUGUGAGGAGUGAGCUUUUCUGGUGCCCGGCUUACAAAUAUUAUAGACGUUUUUAUUCCUUCAAGCAUCAGUUCUAUUAGAAUUCCCGUGUACAUAUAGAACAAUUUCUAACUGUUAUUCACCCACAUGUUUACCAGAAUGUAAAAGAGAUAAAAAAGAACUCUUAGAGCUAAAAUGAGCUCGUGUAAUCUAGGCAGUAGGUUUGCUGGGACUCACUAUUUAGUUUGUUUCCUUACAAACUAAUUUCAGCACUUCCAUUUUUAUUGGUGACUGGAGUAUCAGUGAUGUACUCUUAAAAGGUGCGUACUUCAAUCUAGCAUAUCAAACAUCAUCUGCCUCCUAAACAUUUAAAAGCAAGUAAAAUUUGAGUUUGGGUGUAUGGUCUGAUUACCUCAGAUCCCAAUGAAUCAUUGCAUAACCAAGCCCAUGUCUGAUUUGAUAAAUCUUCUAUAGUUUCUUAUCCCUGUUAACUGUGCCUGCCUAGCAACUCUGAAUCUUCAACUACAACAACAAUCAAAGCUUUGUCCUCAAAUUGUUUUCAGUAAUUACUGCAGAAAUAUCAGAUGAUGAGGCUUGUGCAUAACCACUAAAUACACAAUAAGAAGCAGGCCAAAGAAAGCCACCUAGGAGUAUGGCUGGAUGAACACCUAAUUUCACUGGAGCUGGUGCUCAGAAAUUGAUGAACGGAGACACCACAAUGCAGGUCGCAACUCGAAAGAAUUAUCUUAUGGAUUUCACAUGUUAAGCAAGAAUACCAGAGGCA